AACGAACGCUGGCGGCAGGCUUAACACAUGCAAGUCGAGCGCCCCGCAAGGGGAACGGCAGACGGGUGAGUAACGCGUGGGAAUCUACCCAACCCUACGGAAUAACGCAUGGAAACGUGUGCUACAACCGCAUACGCCCUUUUGGGGAAAGAUUUAUCGGGGAUGGAUGAGCCCGCGUUGGAUUAGCUAGUUGGUGGGGUAAGGGCCUAACAAGGCGACGAUCCAUAGCUGGUCUGAGAGGAUGAUCAGCCACAUUGGGACUGAGACACGGCCCAAACUCCUACGGGAGGCAGCAGUGGGGAAUAUUGGACAAUGGGCGCAAGCCUGACCCAGCCAUGCCGCGUGGGUGAUGAAGGCCCUAGGGUUGUAAAGCCCUUUCGGCGGGGAAGAUAAUGACGGUACCCGCAGAAGAAGCCCCGGCUAACUUCGUGCCAGCAGCCGCCGUAA
Molecule: ribosomal RNA, 447 nt
Filed under: uncultured bacterium
Lineage: Bacteria
Description: partial 16S ribosomal RNA
Rfam family: Bacterial small subunit ribosomal RNA
Source: RNAcentral